CCAGUCGGCCGGAUGACCGCCUGGGGGUUCCAGCUGUCAAAGCCGGGUCUCUCGGGAGGAAAGUCCGGGCUCCAUGGAACAACGGUGCCGGGUAACGCCCGGCGGGGGCAACCCCAGGGACAGUGCCACAGAAAGCAAACCGCCACGCCUUGGCGAGGUAAGGGUGAAAGGGUGCGGUAAGAGCGCACCGCGGGCCUGGCAACAGGACCGGCACGGUAAACCCCACCGGGAGCAAGACCGAAUAGGGACGGCCGGGAUCGUUAUGGAUCCGCAUCGGUUUCAGAUUGCCGUCCGGGUUGGUCGCGCGAGGUGCAUGGCGACAUGCAUCCCAGAUGAAUGGUCAUCCAGCGAAGGCUCGCCUUCGUGGACAGAACCCGGCUUACAGGCCGGCUGGCAAA
This 398-nucleotide RNase P RNA is filed under the name Hyphomicrobiales bacterium. RNAcentral's name for it is "Rhizobiales bacterium (beach sand metagenome) RNase P RNA component class A". It matches the Rfam family "Bacterial RNase P class A". From Rfam's summary of the family: Ribonuclease P (RNase P) is a ubiquitous endoribonuclease, found in archaea, bacteria and eukarya as well as chloroplasts and mitochondria. Lineage: Bacteria; Pseudomonadati; Pseudomonadota; Alphaproteobacteria; Hyphomicrobiales. The record is from RNAcentral.